GUAGCCGGCCUGAGAGGGUGUCCGGCCACACUGGGACUGAGAUACGGCCCAGACUCCUACGGGAGGCAGCAGUGGGGAAUAUUGCACAAUGGGCGCAAGCCUGAUGCAGCGACSCCGCGUGGGGGAUGACGGCCUUCGGGUUGUAAACCUCUUUCAGUAGGGACGAAGCGCAAGUGACGGUACCUACAGAAGAAGGACNGGCCAACUACGUGCCAGCAGCCGCGGUAAUACGUAGGGUCCGAGCGUUGUCCGGAAUUACUGGGCGUAAAGAGCUCGUAGGUGGUUUGUCGCGUUGUUCGUGAAAUCUCACAACUCAAUUGUGAGCGUGCGAGCGAUACGGGCAGACUGGAGUACUGCAGGGGAGACUGGAAUWC
RNAcentral lists this ribosomal RNA (374 nucleotides) under uncultured bacterium. Its description in RNAcentral is "bacterial SSU rRNA". It matches the Rfam family "Bacterial small subunit ribosomal RNA", at positions 283 to 669 of the family's 1533-position model. The record is from RNAcentral.